GACGGAGGGGGCUAGCGUUGUUCGGAAUGACUGGGCGUAAAGGGCGCGUAGGCGGCCGAUCAAGUCAGGCGUGAAAGCCUCAGGCUUAACCUGAGAACUGCGCUUGAUACUGGUUGGCUAGAGAACGAGAGAGGAAAGCGGAAUUCCGAGUGUAGAGGUGAAAUUCGUAGAUAUUCGGAAGAACACCAGUGGCGAAGGCGGCUCACUGGACCGGUAUUGACGCUGAGGUGCGAAAGCGUGGGGAGCAAACAGG
Molecule: ribosomal RNA, 253 nt
Filed under: uncultured bacterium
Lineage: Bacteria
Description: partial 16S ribosomal RNA
Rfam family: Bacterial small subunit ribosomal RNA
Source: RNAcentral